RNAcentral lists this ribosomal RNA (352 nucleotides) under uncultured bacterium. RNAcentral describes it as "bacterial SSU rRNA". It matches the Rfam family "Bacterial small subunit ribosomal RNA", at positions 773 to 1117 of the family's 1533-position model. The record is from RNAcentral.
ACGUAAUAGAUACCCGGGUAGUCCACGCCGUAAACGAUGAUGACUAGCUGUCGGAGCGCUUGGCGUUUCGGUGGCGCAGCUAACGCGUUAAGUCAUCCGCCUGGGGAGUACGGCCGCAAGGUUAAAAACUCAAAGAAAUUGACGGGGGCCUGCACAAGCGGUGGAGCAUGUGGUUUAAUUCGAAGCAACGCGCAGAACCUUACCAGCGUUUGACAUGGUAGGACGGUUUCCAGAGAUGGAUUCCUUCCCUUACGGGACGUACACACAGGUGCUGCAUGGCUAUCGUCAGCUCGUGUCGUGAGAUGUUGGGUUAAGUCCCGUCAACGUAGCGUCAACCCGUCGUCUCUAGUUG